GACGAACGCUGGCGGCGUGCCUAAUACAUGCAAGUAGAACGCUGAAGAGAGGAGCUUGCUCUUCUUGGAUGAGUUGCGAACGGGUGAGUAACGCGUAGGUAACCUGCCUUGUAGCGGGGGAUAACUAUUGGAAACGAUAGCUAAUACCGCAUAACAAUGGAUGACACAUGUCAUUUAUUUGAAAGGGGCAAUUGCUCCACUACAAGAUGGACCUGCGUUGUAUUAGCUAGUAGGUGAGGUAAUGGAUCACCUAGGCGACGAUACAUAGCCGACCUGAGAGGAUGAUCGGCCACACUGGGACUGAGACACGCCCCAGACUCAUACGGGAGGCAGCAGGAGGGAAUCUUCGGCAAUGGGGGCAACCCUGACCGAGCAACGCCGCGUGAGUGAAGAAGGGUUUCGGAUCGGAAAGCACUGUUGUAAGUCAAGAACGGGUGUGAGAGUGGAAAGUUCACACUGUGACGGUAGCUUACCAGAAAGGGACGGCUAACUACGUG
Molecule: ribosomal RNA, 497 nt
Filed under: uncultured bacterium
Lineage: Bacteria
Description: partial 16S ribosomal RNA
Rfam family: Bacterial small subunit ribosomal RNA
Source: RNAcentral